CGUGACGCUGUUGUUUCUGCUCCCUGCCAGCACUUUGACACAUCUGGCAGGAGAGUUCACUGGAUGAAGUGUUUUCUACCUUAGUGAGAUCUUUUCACGAUGUUGCUUGAAAAAUCCAGGUACCAGCAUGAUGAUUCAGAAACCCUUGAAGAUAUAGUCAUAUUUUCAGCAACAGAUGGAUUUAACACUGCAGAUGGAGUGUUAAGAGUGCAGAUUAUGUGGGUGAGCAGCGAGCCCCAGAGCUAGAGCAAGGAUUGCAGGCAGGGAUGGUUGUCUGGAAGGAGGAUCAGCCAGGACCACCUCUGAGCAUCUCCGUGCAAUGGAUGCUGAAGGUGUUGGCACAGAGCUGACCUGUGCGGCUGCCCAGGCUCCAGCACAUGGAGUGAUACAAAGAACGAGCAUCACGGUGGAUCAGCUUUCCCAGUUGGAUGCAAUCUGGAGAUUCAUCUCCUGUGUGCAUACUGAGAUGUGUGCUGGCAAGUUGCAAUACCACAGAGAAGGGAAGGUCCGGAGCUGCAGUAGGAGUAAGGAACUUAGAAAAUGCAACUGGUGCGGAAGAGCGAACAAGGUCACCGGUGACAAGGCUCUGCUCCAUCUGUGCAGGCACACUCGACCCCAAGGACCUUAACUUCAUGUCAAAGACAAACACUCAGUAUGGCUUGCGAGAAAAUGCUCUUCCCUCAGAUGACUAUAAGAAGCUCAGUCCUGGGAUUGAUAUGACUGCAGAGAAAUGAGGACAAAUUCUGGCUCUGAAGGCAGAUCUAGUCUCGCACAGGUUCCCACCAUGUCCACACUCUCGUGUCAGUGAAAUAGGGAGGCUGCCGGGGCUCCCCAGGACCAGACUCUGCGUCCACCCAGCUCUGCUACCUCUGUACUGAUGCUGCUGUACAUGCAUGAUGACACAGAAAGCCUAGAGGAUAGUUUUACCAUGCAGCUGACAGAUGGCAAGUGCACAGUCCAAGGGACACUUUACAUCUACAUCAUGCCAGUCAACGAUGAAAUCCCUCAUCU
Long non-coding RNA from Grus americana (Whooping crane), 1011 nucleotides. RefSeq lists it as uncharacterized. The transcript has 8 exons. Lineage: Eukaryota; Metazoa; Chordata; Aves; Gruiformes; Gruidae. The record is from RefSeq and is a predicted model, not a curated record.